Molecule: ribosomal RNA, 433 nt
Filed under: uncultured bacterium
Lineage: Bacteria
Description: partial 16S ribosomal RNA
Rfam family: Bacterial small subunit ribosomal RNA
Source: RNAcentral
AACGAACGCUGGCGGCAUGCCUAACACACGCAAGUCGAACGAGACCUUCGGGUCUAGUGGCGCACGGGUGCGUAACGCGUGGGAACCUGCCCUUAGGUUCGGAAUAACUCCCCGAAAGGGGUGCUAAUACCGGAUAAUGUCUUCGGACCAAAGAUUUAUCGCCUUUGGAUGGGCCCGCGUUGGAUUAGCUAGUUGGUAGGGUAAAAGCCUACCAAGGCGACGAUCCAUAGCUGGUCUGAGAGGAUGAUCAGCCACACUGGGACUGAGACACGGCCCAGACUCCUACGGGAGGCAGCAGUGGGGAAUAUUGGACAAUGGGCGAAAGCCUGAUCCAGCAAUGCCGCGUGAGUGAUGAAGGCCUUAGGGUUGUAAAGCUCUUUUACCCGGGAUGAUAAUGACAGUACCAGGAGAAUAAGCUCCGGCUAACUCCGUG